Molecule: transfer RNA, 67 nt
Filed under: Haliotis sp. 1 KW-2022
Lineage: Eukaryota; Metazoa; Mollusca; Gastropoda; Lepetellida; Haliotidae
Description: tRNA-Arg
Source: RNAcentral
UAGAGAGAAGCGAUUACGCAGUCGGUUUCGGCCCGAAGACUGGGAGUCAUAGCAUUCCCCUCCCUAG